CACACACGGAUCAUUGGUUUCGGUCGGGAGACAUCCGGUCGGCGCCUCCGGUGGCGGGUUUCCGCCUGAAGGUCCGUGGAGGUUCAACCGGAAAGGAAACUA
Molecule: small RNA, 102 nt
Filed under: Nitratireductor indicus C115
Lineage: Bacteria; Pseudomonadati; Pseudomonadota; Alphaproteobacteria; Hyphomicrobiales; Phyllobacteriaceae
Description: rpsB sRNA
Rfam family: rpsB sRNA
Source: Rfam by way of RNAcentral